This 771-nucleotide ribosomal RNA is filed under the name Gayliella sp. 1 FPG-2019. RNAcentral's name for it is "partial large subunit ribosomal RNA". It matches the Rfam family "Eukaryotic large subunit ribosomal RNA", at positions 1359 to 2138 of the family's 3401-position model. The record is from RNAcentral. Lineage: Eukaryota; Rhodophyta; Florideophyceae; Ceramiales; Ceramiaceae.
AUCAAAGUGGCAAUAUCAGAUGAGUAGGAGGGCGUGGCGGUCGUAUGGAAGCGUUCGUGCGAACGAGCGUGAAACGGCCGCUAGUGCAGAUCUUGGUGGUAGUAGCAAAUAUUCAAGUGAGAUCCUUGAAGGACGAAGCGGGGAAGGGUUCCACGCGAACAUUGAUUGAGCGUGGGUGAGUCGUUCCUAAGCCGAGUGGUAAUUGCUAAUUACCGGCGAAAGGGAAGCAGGUUGACAUUCCUGCACACGGAUGUGGAGGCGGUGACGCCGUAUUGGGGUGAUGACGUCGGCAGUGGAUCUGGGCAGAGUUUUCUUUUCUGUUUAACCGUCUUUGUUCGCUGUGUGGAAUCCGCUUGUCGGGAGAAACACGCGAACUCGGGCAGAGCGCCGGGGCUUUUCCGGCGUCCAGAUCUCCAUUGACGACCCUUGAAAAAUCACUUACUGGACAUUUAUUCUUCGGAAUUUUUGUGAAAUCCACGCCGUGGCGUACCGAUAACCGCAUCAGGUCCCCAAGGUGAACAGCCUCUGUCCAAUAUGAAAAAUGCAGGUAAGGGAAGUCGGCAAAUUAGACCCGUAACUUUGGGAAAAGGGUUGGCUCUAGUGCUGCGUGGGAUUGGUCGGCUCGCGUUUUGCGGUUUGGUGCCGGGGCGUUGUACUGCGAUGGGACCUCGUGUUCUGUUGUGGUUGAUGCCUCAUGCUCAUAUUGCUACGCUUGACGACGCCCUCAGCAUGCAUCAAGCUAGAUCGGCAAUCGGGCAAAGGGAAUCGGAC